This is a non-coding RNA of Kluyvera ascorbata ATCC 33433, 125 nucleotides long. NCBI's taxonomy places the organism in Bacteria, Pseudomonadati, Pseudomonadota, Gammaproteobacteria, Enterobacterales, Enterobacteriaceae. The record is from Rfam.
CAAGCAUGAAUGCUGCUAUUUUCCGCUUCUUCUUUUACUUUAGCACCUGAACUCAGGAGGCUUGCGCGUGAAAGAAGAAACGAAAAAUCAGCGCCAAUAAGCCUCCGGAUGGAGGCUUUUUUUGU